RNAcentral lists this ribosomal RNA (253 nucleotides) under uncultured bacterium. RNAcentral describes it as "partial 16S ribosomal RNA". It matches the Rfam family "Bacterial small subunit ribosomal RNA", at positions 524 to 776 of the family's 1533-position model. The record is from RNAcentral.
UACGUAGGGGGCAAGCGUUGUCCGGAUUUAUUGGGCGUAAAGAGCUCGUAGGCGGUUCCGUAAGUCGAGUGUGAAAAAUCUGGGCUCAACCCAGUGGAGCACUCGAUACUGCGGUGACUAGAGUACGGUAGAGGAGUGUGGAAUUCCUGGUGUAGCGGUGAAAUGCGCAGAUAUCAGGAGGAACACCAACGGCGAAGGCAGCACUCUGGGCCGGUACUGACACUGAGAGACGAAAGCUAGGGGAGCGAAUGGG